UUCAUGUUAUCAAAGCCAUGGCUGCAACUCUAGGCUGUUUGGACUCCAAAUCAUCUCAUAUUCUUCAGAUUCUCUGGAAUGAGUUAGCAGAACAGCUUUUACUGAAAAAAAAAUCCAGCUGACUGAAGAAAAGCCCUCAGAUGGGACUUUCUUCUGCAGGCAAACAGAUUUCAAAAUAUGAAAAUUCUCUGAGAGAGAAUCCUUCCUUUUUCCACAUAGCACUAUUUCCAAGAAACUGCAUAGCCAUGUUGAAGAUCUUUAAAUAACCACUGAAUACUUCUGUUCUACCAGCAAAGUAAUGUUGUACUUUUGAUUGUCAAAAACAUUUAGAUAAUGAACACCCAUUGAUUCCUCCAUAAAGAUAUAUGGGGGGGGGGGGGGAUGGGGAGAUAUUCUCAGUUCUGGAUUUCAAAUCCUUCCAUUUAAAUCACAGCAAUCAAAAGAGCACAUUGGACAUGGCUUAGUUAAUUCAUUUUGUAUUGCUUUUAUUUUGAUUUAAUGAGAAUGCUGUUAAGGAGAGCACAAUGCAUAAGGAGAGCUGAUGGCUGGAAAUGGGAUCUAUUUAGGUUAGAAGUCAGGUACAGAUAUUUAGCAGUGAGGUUAUUUAACCUUCAGAAGAGCUUACUCUUACCAAAAACUGUGGUGAAUUUUUCAUCCCUGCAAUUUGUUUUUUAACCCAGAUUGAACAUAAUUUAGGGCAUCCCUAUUAACUGGGCUAUAUGGGACAUCAGGCUAAUGAAUAGGAAUGUUCCUUCUACUAUGUAUGAAUCUAUGUUGGUGGAAGCACAGAAAAUUCUACCUCUGUAAAAAUUAAGAAACAUUCAGGUACCUGAACAUGGAUUUUGGCUAGAGGUAGUUGGGAAUUUUUCACUGAAAUGAUAUUCCACCUUGCAAUUUCCAAGGCAGACAA
Molecule: long non-coding RNA, 910 nt
Organism: Oenanthe melanoleuca
Lineage: Eukaryota; Metazoa; Chordata; Aves; Passeriformes; Muscicapidae
Exons: 3
Source: RefSeq, a predicted model, not a curated record